UACGGAGGGUGCAAGCGUUAUCCGGAUUCACUGGGUUUAAAGGGUGCGUAGGUGGGCAGGUAAGUCAGUGGUGAAAUCUCCGGGCUUAACCCGGAAACUGCCAUUGAUACUAUCUGUCUUGAAUAUUGUGGAGGUGAGCGGAAUAUGUCAUGUAGCGGUGAAAUGCUUAGAUAUGACAUAGAACACCAAUUGCGAAGGCAGCUCACUACUCAAUCAUUGACUCUGAGGCACGAAAGCGUGGGGAUCAAACAGG
RNAcentral lists this ribosomal RNA (253 nucleotides) under uncultured bacterium. RNAcentral's name for it is "partial 16S ribosomal RNA". It matches the Rfam family "Bacterial small subunit ribosomal RNA", at positions 524 to 776 of the family's 1533-position model. The record is from RNAcentral.